UAGGGAAUCUUCGGCAAUGGGGGCAACCCUGACCGAGCAACGCCGCGUGAGUGAAGAAGGUUUUCGGAUCGUAAAGCUCUGUUGUAAGUCAAGAACGAGUGUGAGAGUGGAAAGUUCACACUGUGACGGUAGCUUACCAGAAAGGGACGGCUAACUACGUGCCAGCAGCCGCGGUAAUACGUAGGUCCCGAGCGUUGUCCGGAUUUAUUGGGCGUAAAGCGAGCGCAGGCGGUUUGAUAAGUCUGAAGUUAAAGGCUGUGGCUCAACCAUAGUUCGCUUUGGAAACUGUCAAACUUGAGUGCAGAAGGGGAGAGUGGAAUUCCAUGUGUAGCGGUGAAAUGCGUAGAUAUAUGGAGGAACACCGGUGGCGAAAGCGGCUCUCCGGUCUGUAACUGACGCUGAGGCUCGAAAGCGUGGGGAGCGAACAGGAUUAGAUACCCUGGUAGUCCACGCCGUAAACGAUGAGUGCUAGGUGUUGGAUCCUUUCCGGGAUUCAGUGCCGCAGCUAACGCAUUAAGCACUCCGCCUGGGGAGUACGACCGCAAGGUUG
Molecule: ribosomal RNA, 550 nt
Filed under: uncultured bacterium
Lineage: Bacteria
Description: bacterial SSU rRNA
Rfam family: Bacterial small subunit ribosomal RNA
Source: RNAcentral